Molecule: ribosomal RNA, 428 nt
Filed under: uncultured Verrucomicrobiota bacterium
Lineage: Bacteria; Pseudomonadati; Verrucomicrobiota
Description: bacterial SSU rRNA
Rfam family: Bacterial small subunit ribosomal RNA
Source: RNAcentral
UCGAGAAUUUUUCUCAAUGGGGGAAACCCUGAAGGAGCGACGCCGCGUGGAGGAUGAAGGUCUUCGGAUUGUAAACUCCUGUCAUGAGGGAGUAAGACACAGCGUUAACUGCGUAUGUGUUUGAUAGUACCUCAAGAGGAAGAGACGGCUAACUCUGUGCCAGCAGCCGCGGUAAUACAGAGGUCUCAAGCGUUGUUCGGAUUCAUUGGGCGUAAAGGGUGCGUAGGCGGUUGGGUAAGUCAGAGGUGAAAUUCCGGGGCUCAACCUCGGAACUGCCUUUGAUACUGCCUGACUAGAGUACUGGAGAGGAGACUGGAAUUCACGGUGUAGCAGUGAAAUGCGUAGAUAUCGUGAGGAAGACCAGUGGCGAAGGCGAGUCUCUGGACAGUUACUGACGCUGAGGCACGAAGGCUAGGGGAGCAAACGGG